AAAGAGGCCUCUGUGGUAAAGGGAGUCGUGACAACAAAAGAAGCAUCUGUGGAAAAUGUAGUCAUGACAACAAAAGAGGCCUCUAUGGACGAGGGAGCGAUGGCAGCAAAAGAGGCAUCUGCAGAUAGAUCCAACAAUACCUUCACAAAUGGAUUUUCAAUGGCUGAUGGAACAGAAUCACUUCAAUCUGGUCGCUGCACAGGAGCUAAAAGGAGGAAGUCUGCUUCUGUUCGGAGGUUUAUACCGCAAGCUACUUCAGGUGUAGUGAAGGAUCUCCAAGAUGCUGUAGCAAAUGCUACUAGUGGCCAUUUGGUUGCAUUACUGCAGGAAGAAGUUCACGAUCAAGGACUUGUGGGAAAUGUUUUGGGUUGUAAUAAUAAGUGUGAUCGGUUCAAAGAUACAUAUGCCAUAACAGAAAUUAUCAAGGCCGAGAGCUAUUCACCACCUGAUAUAGAAAAUGGCUUGAAGGAUGUAUCUGUGACCUUUCUAGUUAAGAGGUCAGAUGGAACAGAAGAUGUUGUGGAUAACAAGUUUAUGAAGACGAAUAAUCCACUUUUGCUGAUAAGCUAUUACGAGAAGCAUAUUCAACAUCAUCCGUCUCUAUGAGUGAGCUGAGGUGAAGGUGG
This 626-nucleotide unclassified non-coding RNA is filed under the name Hevea brasiliensis (rubber tree). Lineage: Eukaryota; Viridiplantae; Streptophyta; Magnoliopsida; Malpighiales; Euphorbiaceae. The record is from RNAcentral.